This 779-nucleotide long non-coding RNA is filed under the name Homo sapiens (human). Its description in RNAcentral is "HSALNT0393401". The record is from RNAcentral. Lineage: Eukaryota; Metazoa; Chordata; Mammalia; Primates; Hominidae.
GAAUGAUGUAAUUGGAAAGCAUUUUUGGAUACUGCACGGCAGUCGUUUGAAGAAAAAACUGGAGAGAUGGGGGAUGGAAGCCUGGGAGUCACAUUUUUUCAAGCAAGACAUCACAGAGGGUGAGGCCCAGUGACAGAGAUGACAGAUAUUCAAAGAUGGAAUGAAAGAGGUUUGGUGACUGGAUAUAAGCAACGAAACAGGAAGAAUUGAAUUUGGGUCUGAUAUUUCCUGGAUGCAAGAUCAGGAGGAUGUUGGCACCAUGGCUUAGUGGGGAAACUGGGGACCGAUUCUGGAGGUAUACCAGCAUGGUGAGUUUGGUUUUAGAUGGGUUGUGUUUGACAUAGGGCUAGCAAUUCUAAGUGAAGAUGUCUAAAGAAAGAUAGAAGUGACUCAGCUCUGAAGUUCUGAAAUGAUCAGCCAUCAGCGUGGCAUGAGGAAGACCUAGGAACAGACAGACUGGGGAGAAGACACAGAGCCAAGCAGGACCUGGCCUGCAGCCCAAACCCUGUGGAAUCCCUACAUUCAAGGACCAGGUUGAAGUGAAGCCAUUGACAGGAACUGAGAUGCAGUAGUGUUCUGGAAGUCAAGUGAGGAGGAGGAUUGAAGAAGAGGGGGGUUGCCCAGUGGAAACACCAGACUGCAAAGCUUUGAGAAGUCUGUAUGAGAUGAACAACUGGAAAAGGUUCUUCGUGAAGAAUUUGUGUGGUGAAGAGCUGGAAUAGCGGCUUGAGGGAGAGAAGCCAGAUGGAGUCUCACUCUGUCGCCCAGGCUGGAGUACA